This 6999-nucleotide long non-coding RNA is filed under the name Citrus x clementina. RNAcentral describes it as "Citrus clementina (C. clementina) long non-coding RNA (CCLE_LNC006218)". The record is from RNAcentral. Lineage: Eukaryota; Viridiplantae; Streptophyta; Magnoliopsida; Sapindales; Rutaceae.
CGGCCUAUUUUUGGCACACGGAGGCCCCUCGAAAAGUCUCGCAGCGUUCCGAGUCUGGUGGACGAAUUUGGCCAGCCCCACCCCCCAAGGCUAUAGCCCACCCGUUUUUGUGGCCUUUUUCCGCUGGACGAACUUGGCGCCCCGGCCUUCGGGCAGUUAUUUUUUGGCGCGGCUUUGCCCGCGGCCUAUUUUUGGCACACGGAGGCCCCUCGCAAAGUCUCGUGGCAUUCCGAGUCUGGUGGAGAAAGUUGGCCAGCCCCACCCCCCAAGGCUAUAGCCCACCCGUUUUUGUGGCCUUUUUCCGCUGGACGAACUUGGCGCCCCGGCCUUCGGGUGGUUAUUUUUGGGCGCGGCUUUGCCCGCGGCCAAUUUUUGGCUCACGGAGGCCCCUCGCAAAGUCUCGCGGCAUUCCGAGUCCGGCGGACGAAGUUGGCCAGCCCCACCCCCCAAGGCUAUAGCCCACCCGUUUUUGUGGCCUUUUUCCGCUGGACGAACUUGGCGCCCCGGCCUUCGGGGGGUUAUUUUUGGGCGCGGCUUUGCCCACGGCCUACUUUUGGCACACGGAGGCCCCUCGCAAAGUCUCGCGGCAUUCCAAGACCGGCGGACGAAGUUGGCCAGCCCCACCCCCCCAGGCUAUAGCCCACCCGUUUUUGUGUCNNNNNNNNNNNNNNNNNNNNNNNNNNNNNNNNNNNNNNNNNNNNNNNNNNNNNNNNNNNNNNNNNNNNNNNNNNNNNNNNNNNNNNNNNNNNNNNNNNNNNNGUCUCGCGGCAUUCCGAGUCCGGCGGACGAAGUUGGCUAGCCCCACCCCCCAAGGCUAUAGCCCACCCGUUUUUGUUGCCUUUGUCCGCUGAACGAACUUGGCGCCCCGGCCUUCGGGGGGUUAUUUUUGGGCGCGACUUUGCCCGCGGCCUACUUUUGCCACACGGAGGCCCCUCGCAAAGUCUCGCGGCAUUCCAAGCCCGGCGGACGAAGUUGGCCAGCCCCACCCCCCCAGGCUAUAGCGCACCCGUUUUUGUGGCCUUUUUCCGCUGGACGAACUUGGCGCCCCGGCCUUCGGGCAGUUAUUUUUUGGCGCGGCUUUGCCCGCGGCCUACCAUUGGCACACAGAGGCCCCUCGCAAAGUCUCACGGCAUUCCGAGUCCGGCGGACGAAGUCGGCCUAACUCACCCCCCAAGGCUAUAGCCCACCCUUUUUUGUGGCCUUUUUCCGUUGGACGAACUUGGCGUCCCGGCCUUUGGGCGGUUAUUUUUGGGUACGGCUUUGUCCGCGGCCUAUUUUUGGCACACGGAGGCCCCUCGCAAAGUCUCGCGGCAUUCCGAGUCCGGCGGACGAAGUUGGCCAGCCCCACCCCCCAUGGCUAUAUCCCACCCGUUUUUGUGGCCUUUUUCCGCUGGACGAACUUGGCGCCCCGGCCUUCGGGCAGUUAUUUUUUGGCGCGACUUUGCCCGCGGCCUACUUUUGGCACACGGAGGCCCCUCGCAAAGUCUCGCGGCAUUCCGAGUCCGGCGGACGAAGUGGGCCAGCCCCACCCCCCAAGGCUAUAGCCAACCCGUUUUUGUGGCCGUUUUCCGCUGGACGAACUUGGCGCCCCGCCCUUCGGUGGAUAUUUUUGGGCGCGGCUUUGUCCGCGGCCUAUUAUUGGCUCAAGGAGGCCCCUCGCAAAGUCUCGCGGCAUUCCGAGUCCGGCGGACGAAAUUGGCCAGCCCCACCCCCCAAGGCUAUAGCCCACCCGUUUUUGUGGCCUUUUUCCGCUAGACGAACAUGGCGCCCCGGCCGUCAGGCGGUUAUUUUUUUGGCCCCGCUUUGCCCGCGGCCUAUUUUUGGGACACGGAAGACCCCCCCAAAAUCNNNNNNNNNNNNNNNNNNNNNNNNNNNNNNNNNNNNNNNNNNNNNNNNNNNNNNNNNNNNNNNNNNNNNNNNNNNNNNNNNNNNNNNNNNNNNNNNNNNNNNNNNNNNNNNNNNNNNNNNNNNNNNNNNNNNNNNNNNNNNNNNNNNNNNNNNNNNNCACAUGGAGGGCCCUCGCAAAGUCUCGCGGCAUUCCGAGUCCGGCGGACGAAGUUGGCCAGCCCCAACCCCCAAGGCUAUAGCCCACCCUUUUUUGUGGCCUUUUUCCGCUGGACGAACUUGGCGCCCCGGCCUUCGGGCGGUUAUUUUUGGGCGCGGCUUUGUCCGCGGCCUAUUUUUGGCACACGGAGGCCCCUCGCAAAGUCUCGCGGCAUUCCGAGUCCGGCGGACGAAGUUGGCCAGCCCCACCCCCCAAGGCUAUAGCCCACCCAUUUUUGUGGCCUUUUUCCGCUGGACGAACUUGGCGCCCCGGCCUUCGGGCAGUUAUUUUUUUGCGCGGCUUUGCCCCCGGCCUACUUCAGGCACACAGAGGCCCCUCGCAAAGUCUCGCGGCAUUCCGAGUCCGGCGGCCGAAGUCGGCCGGCCCCACCCCCCAAGGCUAUAGCCCACCCGUUUUUGUGGCCUUUUUCCGCUGGACGAACUUGGCGUCCCGGCCUUCGGGCGGUUAUUUUAGGGUGCGGCUUUGCCCGUGACCUAUUUUUGGCACACGGAGGCCCCUCGCAAAGUCUCGCGGCAUUCCGAGUCCGGCGGACGAAGUUGGCCAGCCCCACCCCCCAACGCUGUAACCCACCCGUUUUUGUGGACUUUUUCCGCUGGACGAACUUGGCGCCCCGGCCUUCGGGGGGUUAUUUUUUGGCGCGGCUUUACCCGCGGCCUACUUUAGGCACACGGAGGCCCCUCGCAAAGUCUCGCGGCAUUCCGAGUCUGGCGGACGAAGUCGGCCAGCCCCACCCCCCAAGGCUAUAGCCCACCCGUUUUUGUGGCCUUUUUCCGCUGGACGAACUUUGCGCCGCGGCCUUCGGGCGGUUAUUUUUGGGCGCGGCGUUGCCCGCGGCCUAUUUUUGGCACACGGAGGCCCCUCGCAAUGUCUCGCGGCAUUCCGAGUCCGGCGGACGAAGUUGGCCAGCCCCACCCCCCAACGCUGUAACCCACCCGUUUUUGUGGACUUUUUCCGCUGGACGAACUUGGCGCCCCGGCCUUCGGGGAGUUAUUUUUGGGUGCGGCUUUGGCUGCGGCCUAUUUUUGGCACACAGAGGCCCCUCGCAAAGUCUCGCGGCAUUCCGAGUCCAGCGGACGAAGUGGGCCAGCCCCACCCCCCAAGGUUAUAGCCCACCCGUUUUUGUGGCCUUUUUCCGCUGGACGAACUUGGCGCCCAGGCCUUCGGGCGGUUAUUUUUGGCCGCGGCCUGAUUUUGGCACACGGAGGCCCAUCGGAAAGUCUCGUGGCAUCCCAAGACCGGCGGACGAAGUUGGCCAGCCCCACCCCCCAAGGCUAUAGCCCACCCGUUUUUGUGGUCUUUUUCCGCUGGACGAACUUGGCGCCCUGGCCUUCAGGCAGUUAUUUUUUGGCGCGGCUUUGCCCGCGGCCUACUUUUGGCUCACGGAGGCCCCUCGCAAAGUUUCGCGGCAUUCCGAGUCCGGCGGACGAAGUCGGCCAGCCCCACCCCCCAAGGCUAUAGCCCACCCGUUUUUGUAGCCUUUUUCCGCUGGACGAACUUGGUGCCCCGGCCUUCGGGCAGUUAUUUUUGAGCACGGCGUUGCCCGUGGCCUACCUUUGGCACACAAAUGCCCCUCGCAAAGUCUCACGGCAUUCCGAGUCCGGCGGACGAAGUCGGCCUGCCCCACCCCCCAAGGCUAUAGCCCACCCGUUUUUGUGGCCUUUUUCCGCUGGACGAACUUGGCGUCCCGGCCUUCGGGUGGUUAUUUUUAGGCCCGGCUUUGCCCGCGGCCUAUUUUUGGCACACGGAGGCCCCUCGCAAAGUCUCGCGGCAUUGCGAGUCCGGCGGACGAAGUCGGCCAGCCCCAUCCCCCAAGGCUAUAGCCCACCCGUUUUUGUGGCCUUUUUCCGCUGGACGAACUUGGUGCCCCGGCCUUCGGGCAGUUAUUUUUGGGCGCGGCUUUGCCCGCGGCCUACCUUUGGCACACAGAGGCCCCUCGCAAAGUCUCACGGCAUUCCGAGUCCGGCGGACGAAGUCGGCCUGCCCCACCCCCCAAGGCUAUAGCCCACCCAUUUUUGUAGCCUUUUUCCGCUGGACGAACUUGGCGUCCCGGCCUUCGGGCGGUUAUUUUUGGGCGCGGCUUUGUCCGUGUCCUAUUUUUGGCACACGGAGGCCCCUCGCAAAGUCUCACGGCAUUCCAAGCCCGGCAGACGAAGUUGGCCAGCCCCACCCCCCAAGGCUAUAGCUAGGGAUGGCAAAAUCCGGGUCCGGGUCCGGGUUUAACGUUUCCGGUUCCGGACCCGGAUGACAAUUUAUGCUCCCGGAUCCGGAUAUAAACCCGGAUUAUUUCACUCCGGGUCCGGUCCGGGUUCAACCCGGAAAAAUCCGGGUUUCCGGAUUGCGGGUUUCAAACCCGGUAGUUGGAUGAAGAUAGAUUUACAGAAGCAAAAAACAAUAGGAUGAAUUCAUGGGAUCACAACCAAUUUUGCUUACUUCAAUAAUAAAAUUUACAAUUAUAUGGAUAUUAUGUGCUAAGAUGCUGCGUUUGGCUAUUAACAACAAGAAAAAAAAUUAAUAAUUACCGAAGUUAAGCAAAAGCAAAAAAUUAAAAGAGAAAUACAGAGAAACGAAAGAAAAUUUCAGGUCGCAGCUAAGGCGGUGAUGGGCCAAUGAAAAAUAUGAUUGCCGGCGAGAAGGGGUUAGCAACUAGCAGCAAAGCUUGCUCUUUGGAGAGAGAUGAGACCGAAUUUGACGAUGGUGGAGCUGGGUUUUUGAUAAUAAUGGAUGAUGAAUUGAGAUGAUUUAAUUGAUGAUGUAUUGAUGAACUUGGUCGUUGGGGAUGAAGAAGACGAAGAUUGAGGUGGCAGUCGCUAGGGAUGAGGGAGAUGAGGUUUGAGGUGGCCGCUGGGGAUGAGUGAGAUGAAGAUGGAGAUGAAGAUUGAGAGAUGAACUGAUAAAGAUUGAGGGAUUGUUUUGUUUUGCUUAUGUUCCCCCCUCCCCUCAACAAGGUGGCGGCUGGUGCAAUUGUUUUGUUUUGCUUUAGGGUUUUACGGGUUUUUCUUGUUUGCUUUUAUUUUUUUUUUCUUGCCCAAUUUAUUGUUUAAUGCUUAUAUAUUUUUUAGUUAGUAAUAAAAAUUAAUAAAUAAAUAAAUGGUAGUCCGGGUCCGGGUUCCGGAGAUCCGGGUUCACCUAAACCCGGACCCGACCCGGAAUAUAUCCGGGUUUGAAAAAUUACAACCCGGAUCCGCAUUAUUAAUGCAUCCGGUGCGGGUUGAACCCGUACCGGAUAAUCCGGGUUUAUCCGGGUCCGGGCCGGGUCCGGAAAAAUUUGCCAUCCCUAGCUAUAGCCCACCCGUUUUUGUGGCCUUUUUCCGCUGGACGAACUUGGCGCCCCGGCCUUCGGGCAGUUAUUUUUUGGCGUGGCUUUGCCCGCGGCCUACCUUUGGCACACAGAGGCCCCUCGCAAAGUCUCAUGGCAUUCCGAGUCCGGCGGACGAAGUCGGCCUGCCCCACGCCCCAAGGCUAUAGCCCACCCGUUUUUGUGGCCUUUUUCCGCUGGACGAACUUGGCGUCCCGGCCUUCGGGCGGUUAUUUUUGGGCGCGGCUUUGCCCGCGGCCUAUUUUUGGCACACGGAGGCCCCUCGCAAAGUCUCGCGGCAUUCCGAGUCCGGCGGACGAAGUUGGCCAGCCCCACCCCCCAAGGCUAUAGCCCACCCGUUUUUGUGGCCUUUUUCCGCUGGACGAACUUGGCGUCCCGGCCUUCGGGCGGUUAUUUUUGGGCGCGGCUUUGCCCGCGGCCUAUUUUUGGCACACGGAGGCCCCUCGCAAAGUCUCGCGGCAUUCCGAGUCCGGCGGACGAAGUUGGCCAGCCCUACCCCCCAAGGCUAUAGCCCACCCGUUUUUGUGGCCUUUUUCCGCUGGACGAACUUGGCGCCCCGGCCUUUAGGCAGUUAUUUUUUGGCACGGCUUUGCCCGCGGCCUAAUUUAGGCCCACGAAGGCCCCUCGCAAAGUCUCGCGGCAUUCCGAGUCCGGCGGACGAAGUCGGCCAGCCCCACCCCCAAAGGCUAUAGCCCACCCGUUUUUGUGGCCUUUUUCCGCUGGACGAACUUGGCGCCCCGGCCUUCGGGCAGUUAUUUUUGGGUGCGGCAUUGCCCGUGGCCUACCUUUGGCACACAGAGGCCCCUCGCAAAGUCUCUGCCAUUCCGAGUCCGGCGGACGAAGUCGGCCUGCCCCACCCCCCAAGGCUAUAGCCCACCCGUUUUUGUGGCCUUUUUCCGCUGGACGAACUUGGCGUCCCGGCCUUCGGGCGGUUAUUUUUAGGCGCGGCUUUGCCCGCGGCCUAUUUUUGGCACACGGAGGCCCCUCGCAAAGUCUCGCGGCAUUGUGACUCCGGUGGACGAAGUCGGCCAGCCCCACCCCCCAAGGCUAUAGCCCACCCGUUUUUGUGGCCUUUUUCCGCUGGACGAACUUGGUGCCCCGGCUUUCGGGCAGUUAUUUUUGGGCGCGGCUUUGUCCACGGCCUACCUUUGGCACACAGAGGCCCCUCGCAAAGUCUCACGGCAUUCCGAGUCCGGCGGACAAAGUCGGCCUGCCCCACCCCCCAAGGCUAUAGCCCACCCGUUUUUGUGGCCUUUUUCCGCUGGACGAACUUGGCGUCCCGGCCUUCGGGCGGUUAUUUUUUGGCGCGGCUUUGCCCGCGGCCUAUUUUUGGCACACAGAGGCCCCUCGCAAACUCUCGCGGCAUUCCAAGCCCGGCGGACGAAGUUGGCCAGCCCCACCCCCCAAGGCUAUAGCCCACCCGUUUUUUGUGGCCUUUUUCCGCUGGACGAACUUGGCGCCCCGGCCUUUGGGCAGUUAUUUUUUGGUGCGGCUUUGCCCGUGGCCUACCUUUGGCACACAGAGGCCCCUCGCAAAGUCUCACGGCAUUCCGAGUCCGGCGGACGAAGUCGGCCUGCCCCACCCCCCAAGGCUAUAGCCCACCCGUUUUUGUGGCCNN